This 395-nucleotide ribosomal RNA is filed under the name uncultured bacterium. Its description in RNAcentral is "bacterial SSU rRNA". It matches the Rfam family "Bacterial small subunit ribosomal RNA", at positions 28 to 416 of the family's 1533-position model. The record is from RNAcentral.
GACGAACGCUGACGGUGUGCUUUAGACAUGCAAGUCGAACGAGAAAGCCCUUCGGGGUUAGUAAAGUGGCGAACGGGUGAGUAACACGUGGGCAAUCUGCCCCUCGCAGAGGGACAACCGGAGGAAACUCCGGCUAAUACCCCGUAAGUUCAAAGGGAGGCAUCUCUCUUCGAAGAAAGGUAGCUUCGGCCAUCCGGCGAGGGAUGAGCCCGCGGUGCAUUAGCUGGUUGGUGGGGUAACGGCCUACCAAGGCGACGAUGCAUAGCUGGUCUGAGAGGAUGAUCAGCCACACUGGGACUGAGACACGGCCCAGACUCCUACGGGAGGCAGCAGUCGGGAAUCUUGCGCAAUGGGCGAAAGCCUGACGCAGCAACACCGUGUGUGUGAGGAAGGCC